Molecule: ribosomal RNA, 577 nt
Filed under: Lodderomyces parapsilosis
Lineage: Eukaryota; Fungi; Ascomycota; Pichiomycetes; Serinales; Debaryomycetaceae
Description: Candida parapsilosis partial large subunit ribosomal RNA
Rfam family: Eukaryotic large subunit ribosomal RNA
Source: RNAcentral
GAAAAGAAACCAACAGGGAUUGCCUUAGUAGCGGCGAGUGAAGCGGCAAAAGCUCAAAUUUGAAAUCUGGCACUUUCAGUGUCCGAGUUGUAAUUUGAAGAAGGUAUCUUUGGGUCUGGCUCUUGUCUAUGUUUCUUGGAACAGAACGUCACAGAGGGUGAGAAUCCCGUGCGAUGAGAUGUCCCAGACCUAUGUAAAGUUCCUUCGAAGAGUCGAGUUGUUUGGGAAUGCAGCUCUAAGUGGGUGGUAAAUUCCAUCUAAAGCUAAAUAUUGGCGAGAGACCGAUAGCGAACAAGUACAGUGAUGGAAAGAUGAAAAGAACUUUGAAAAGAGAGUGAAAAAGUACGUGAAAUUGUUGAAAGGGAAGGGCUUGAGAUCAGACUUGGUAUUUUGUAUGUUACUCUCUCGGGGGUGGCCUCUACAGUUUACCGGGCCAGCAUCAGUUUGAGCGGUAGGAUAAGUGCAAAGAAAUGUGGCACUGCUUCGGUAGUGUGUUAUAGUCUUUGUCGAUACUGCCAGCUUAGACUGAGGACUGCGGCUUCGGCCUAGGAUGUUGGCAUAAUGAUCUUAAGUCGCC